CGAAGCAACGCGAAGAACCUUACCUAAGCUUGACAUCCCAAUGACAUCUCCUUAAUCGGAGAGUUCCCUUCGGGGACAUUGGUGACAGGUGGUGCAUGGUUGUCGUCAGCUCGUGUCGUGAGAUGUUGGGUUAAGUCCCGCAACGAGCGCAACCCUUGUCUUUAGUUGCCAUCAUUAAGUUGGGCACUCUAGAGAGACUGCCAGGGAUAACCUGGAGGAAGGUGGGGAUGACGUCAAAUCAUCAUGCCCCUUAUGCUUAGGGCUACACACGUGCUACAAUGGGUAGUACAGAGGGUUGCCAAGCCGUAAGGUGGAGCUAAUCCCUUAAAGCUACUCUCAGUUCGGAUUGUAGGCUGAAACUCGCCUACAUGAAGCUGGAGUUACUAGUAAUCGCAGAUCAGAAUGCUGCGGUGAAUGCGUUCCCGGGUCUUGUACACACCGCCCGUCACACCACGGGAGUUGGAGACGCCCGAAGCCGAUUAUCUAACCUUUUGGAAGAAGUCGUCGAAGGGGGAAUCAAUAACUGGGGUGAAGUCGUAACAAGGUAGCCGUAUCGGAAGGUGCGGCUGGAUCACCUCCUUUCUAAGGA
RNAcentral lists this ribosomal RNA (589 nucleotides) under Clostridioides difficile. RNAcentral describes it as "bacterial SSU rRNA". It matches the Rfam family "Bacterial small subunit ribosomal RNA", at positions 952 to 1533 of the family's 1533-position model. The record is from RNAcentral. Lineage: Bacteria; Bacillati; Bacillota; Clostridia; Peptostreptococcales; Peptostreptococcaceae.